RNAcentral lists this ribosomal RNA (253 nucleotides) under uncultured bacterium. Its description in RNAcentral is "partial 16S ribosomal RNA". It matches the Rfam family "Bacterial small subunit ribosomal RNA", at positions 524 to 776 of the family's 1533-position model. The record is from RNAcentral.
GACGUAGGGCGCGAGCGUUGUCCGGAUUUAUUGGGCGUAAAGAGCUCGUAGGCGGUUUGUCGCGUCGUCCGUGAAAACUCACAGCUUAACUGUGAGCUUGCGGUCGAUACGGGCAGGCUAGAGUUCGGUAGGGGAGACUGGAAUUCCUGGUGUAGCGGUGAAAUUCGCAGAUAUCAGGAGGAACACCGGUGGCGAAGGCGGGUCUCUGGGCCGAUACUGACGCUGAGGAGCGAAAGCGUGGGGAGCGAACAGG